UAUUUAUUUAUAUUCCACCCACUCUACCCAAAGGUCUCUGGGCAGUUUACAACAAUUAAAAUUCAAUUAAAAUACAAUAAUAUUUGUCACCUUUUACUUUUGUUUCUCACCUGUCUUUCAAAAUUUUAAUUGUUUCUGCCAUAAUUCAUCUAGGUUUCUGUUUUCAUUUUACUACAGGUGUUAAAUUUUUGCGUCUUUCUCCAAAACUGUCUCUGGUUUCAAUGUAUAGUUCUUCUGGUUCAUAGUCAGUUGAGGUUAGUAAUGGAAAUUUGUUCAUUACGUAGACUUUAAAUUAAUCAGGAAUGUUCUUUCAAUUAUAUUUUGACACUAUGAUAUGGUUUGCUUAGAUCUCAAGUCCAUUUUAUCGAUGAAAGCUUGCUACUUUUAUUUUUUAGUGGGCCAAUGAAAGGUAUCACCUACUCUGUAUUUGUGUAAUCUCCAGGACUACACCAGCUCUUUCCUUUUUUUGUUAUGAUUCUUUUAUUGUAGUUUUUCAGUUUUACUCUAAUAAUGGAUAUUGACAGUUCAUAAUCAGUACCACAAUCUCCUCCUGGUCUUGUUUUGGCAGAAAGAAUAAAGCUUCUCCAUCUCCUUCCAAUUACAUCAUCUAUUUGAUUUGCAUACUUGAUUUGUGAUGUCCACAUAUACUGUCAUCUAUUCAGUUGAUUGAAGCAUGUGUUUGCAAUUAACAGAUUGUUGACUUCGCAAAAUUCUAUGAGUCAUUCUAUUGCUUCAUUUCUAUCCCCAAGGCCUAAUUUUCCAAGAUUUGAUUCUGUUUUGUUCUCUUCAGUAGCGUUACAAGGGGAAAAAAACUAUAAAUCUCUGUCAAAAGGAUGACAGAAUCCUCUCUGUUAACAGCAGGCUGAAGUCAGAAUGUUCCCAGGAGCACCCAUGUACACGAGCAACUCUGGGGGAAGCUCAUACUUUGCAAAAGUACUAAACCUUUUAGGAAGGGGUGGAGAAAUUGGGCUGAACACACUGAAACAGCUUUUCCUGCUUGGAAAUGGAAUACCAAGCAUGAUGGAUAGCCAAUUCUGGAACCUGUUAACCAAACCAAACCAAACCCCACCAAUCUUUCCAAGCUCUGCUGCUGUUAGAAGUCAGGACUUCUGGUCCCUGUAACUGAGAUAUGUGGAUUUCUUCAACUCACUUUGGUUCCCGCAAUCCCAUGAAUAUCCCACUGGAUUCAGUGAGACUUAUUUCCAGGUAAGUGUGAAUAGGACUGCAGUUGAGCACAAGCUUGUGCGUUCUGCGUUAUUGGGUUUUUGUGUUCAGUACAAUAAUUGUAUGCUGUCAAGUUGAUUCCAAUUUAUUGUGACCCUUGUCAAGGUUUUCUAGGGUAAAGAAUACUCGGAAGUGGUUUUCCAUUUAAUUUUUUAAAUGUAUCUGGUUGGGGAGCCGGAGGUUGGGACUUUGAUUCCCCACUGUGCCUCCUGGGAGAACAGUCAGAAGAAAGGAAUGGGAAACCAUCUCUGAGCAUUCUUUACUUGGAAAACCCUGAAAAGAGUUGCCAUAAAUCAGAAUUGACUUGACAGCACAUUUAUUAAUUAUAUAUAUUUAUUUUUAAUUGUAGAAGUAUGUAUUAAAAAUAGGAUGUAUUGUUAUGCAUCCUUGUGAUAAAACAAAACCAAUGUAUAUGAUUUUUUUGGUAUUUGAUUAAGAGCUGUUGCAUAUGAAAUAAUUAGAUCGGUGCAUUCAGAUGCUGUGUCUGUUUAAUCUGUUGCUUGCAGUGGGAUUGAUCCACGUAUUAGUCCCAACUAUAACAGACCAAUAGAAUGAAUUAGAUCUGUUAGGUCGACACUUAAGUCCCAUUCAUUCUAGAGUAGACCAAUUGAUUAGUCUCUAAUAGAGUAGACCAGUGAUGGUGAAACUUUUUGAGCCCGAGUGCCCAAACUGCAAUACAAAAUCAACUUAUUUAUUUCAAAGUGCCAACACUGCAAUUAAAACCUGAAUGCUGAGGUUUUAGUUUAGAAAAAACAACUGUUCCUGCAUUGCAAGGGCUGAAUGCUUAUUCCCCCCCCCAUGGGCAGUACUGUAUUAACAAAUAAA
RNAcentral lists this long non-coding RNA (2049 nucleotides) under Pogona vitticeps (central bearded dragon). Its description in RNAcentral is "lncRNA (ENSPVIG00000007056.1)". The record is from RNAcentral. Lineage: Eukaryota; Metazoa; Chordata; Lepidosauria; Squamata; Agamidae.